UACGGGGGGAGCAAGCGUUGUUCGGAUUUACUGGGCGUAAAGGGCGCGUAGGCGGUCGUGACAAGUCACUUGUGAAAUCUCCGGGCUUAACUCGGAACGGUCAAGUGAUACUGUCGGACUAGAGUACAGAAGGGGCAACUGGAAUUCUCGGUGUAGCGGUGAAAUGCGUAGAUAUCGAGAGGAAGACCAGUGGCGAAGGCGGGUCUCUGGACAGUUCCUGACACUGAGGCACGAAGGCCAGGGGAGCAAACGGG
This 254-nucleotide ribosomal RNA is filed under the name uncultured bacterium. Its description in RNAcentral is "partial 16S ribosomal RNA". It matches the Rfam family "Bacterial small subunit ribosomal RNA", at positions 524 to 776 of the family's 1533-position model. The record is from RNAcentral.